GGGGAAACCGCAUUUCAACACUGUGUCAGCUGGUCCUGGGUAAACUCCGUUGUUCCGGCAGUAUUUACCCACGGCAAGCUGAUAGGGCGCUGG
RNAcentral lists this microRNA precursor (93 nucleotides) under Columba livia (rock pigeon). RNAcentral describes it as "microRNA cli-mir-1655 precursor". The record is from miRBase by way of RNAcentral. Lineage: Eukaryota; Metazoa; Chordata; Aves; Columbiformes; Columbidae.